This 406-nucleotide ribosomal RNA is filed under the name uncultured bacterium. RNAcentral describes it as "partial 16S ribosomal RNA". It matches the Rfam family "Bacterial small subunit ribosomal RNA", at positions 30 to 526 of the family's 1533-position model. The record is from RNAcentral.
AUUGAACGCUGGCGGCAGGCCUAACACAUGCAAGUCGAACGAGUGGCGGACGGGUGAGUAAUGUCUGGGAAACUGCCUGAUGGAGGGGGCUAACUACUGGACACGGUAGCUAAUACCGCAUACCAUCAGAUGUGCCCAUAUGGGAUUAGCUAGUUGGUGGGGUAACGGCUCACCAAGGCGACGAUCCCUAGCUGGUCUGAGAGGAUGACCAGCAACACUGGAACUGAGAAACGGUCCAGACGCCUAAGGGAGGCAGCAGUGGGGAAUAUUGCACAAUGGGCGCAAGCCUGAUGCAGCCAUGACGCGUGUAUGAAGAAGGCCUUCGGGUUGUAAAGUACUUUCAGCGGGGAGGCGUUACUCGCAGAAGAAGCACCGGCUAACUCCGUGCCAGCAGCCGCGGUAAUAC